Molecule: long non-coding RNA, 439 nt
Organism: Papaver somniferum (opium poppy)
Lineage: Eukaryota; Viridiplantae; Streptophyta; Magnoliopsida; Ranunculales; Papaveraceae
Exons: 4
Source: RefSeq, a predicted model, not a curated record
GCCGAAAUCACAAACACAAGAAUGGAUCCAUCAAGAAUCUGUAUAUUCGUAAAAAUGAAGAUGAAACCCAAACCACGGUUUUGUUGUUUUUUGAUUUUGAAUCAUAUAGCACAAUGAUAUGUCCUCUCAAAAACUUGAGUCUGUGUCCAGCUAAUGAGUCCAGAUGCAUCAGCCGACUACAUGCAGAACUAAUUCAACAAUUGUAGCUGAUACUUUACCGCUGAUGGAGAAUGGAACUCAACUGACCCAGACAAACUAGUCCGGGUAACUUCAUGCUAGUUUUGACUGCUGUUCAAUUGCUACCCGGUGCGACCCUGAGAAUGCUAGAAAGAGGGGGAUAUUCCCACUUCUAACUCCAAGGUUACUGCAGAUGUGGCGAAUUUAGUGGAGGAGAUGGACGCGUAAUAAUCCAUCAUUGCAAAAAAAAAAAAAAAAAAAA